RNAcentral lists this ribosomal RNA (517 nucleotides) under Mulinia lateralis. RNAcentral's name for it is "partial large subunit ribosomal RNA". It matches the Rfam family "Bacterial large subunit ribosomal RNA", at positions 1799 to 2617 of the family's 2925-position model. Lineage: Eukaryota; Metazoa; Mollusca; Bivalvia; Venerida; Mactridae. The record is from RNAcentral.
CCUGUUUAUCAAAACAUGGCCCUCUGGAGUAAUAAAUAAAGAGGGUCGUGCCUGCCCGGUGGUAUAUACGUGAGUAUCUACUAAACGGCUGCAGUUCAUUACUGUGCAAAGGUAGCGUAGUCAUUUGUCCUUUAAUUGAGGAAGGGUAUGAAUGGUUUGACGAAGGAAAAGCUGUCUCAAAAAUAUUGUUUGAAAUUUUCUUUUAAGUGAAAAGACUUAAAUUUUUAAAUAAGACGAGAAGACCCCGGUGAGCUUGAUGAAACUCCUCUGAGUAGAGGUGUUGAAGUUUUGUUGGGGUAACAGGAAGAGAAAAAAAUUUCAUCUAUAGAAAUGUUGAUCCUUUUUGAGAGAAUAAAGCAAAAGCUACCACGGGGAUAACAGCGCGAUCCCUUUUUAGAGAUCUUAUUGAAGAAGGGGCUUGCGACCUCGAUGUUGGAUUAGAGUUUCGCUUUGGUGCAGAAGCUAAAGUAGAGAGACUGUUCGUCUUUUAAUUCUUUACGUGAUCUGAGUUCAGACC